CCUAUUCAAAAAAUUAUAUUACACACGCCCGAUCUCAUCUGAUCUCGGAAGCUAAGCAGGGUCGGGCCUGUUUAGUACUUGGAUGGGAGACCACUUAGGAAGACCGGGUGCUGUAGGU
RNAcentral lists this ribosomal RNA (118 nucleotides) under Pteropus alecto (black flying fox). Lineage: Eukaryota; Metazoa; Chordata; Mammalia; Chiroptera; Pteropodidae. The record is from RNAcentral.